This 295-nucleotide long non-coding RNA is filed under the name Ricinus communis (castor bean). RNAcentral describes it as "long non-coding RNA (RCOM_LNC000233)". Lineage: Eukaryota; Viridiplantae; Streptophyta; Magnoliopsida; Malpighiales; Euphorbiaceae. The record is from RNAcentral.
GAAAUACUGAAAACUCCAAGACCGUACAAUCCCAUAGAUAAAGGAAGAUUGCAUUGAUUCAGCAAAUCAUGUUAUAAGAAUGACCAACAGAUGGCAAAUAAUCAAACGGGUAUUGGGAUAAGGUAGUCAUUAUAAAUCAUCAUCACCAUCCAUACCUUUGGUAUUGGGAUAAGGUAGUCAUUAUAAAUCAUCAUCACCAUCCAUACCUUUGGUGACUUCACUGCUCCUAUCAUCAGUACUGUCGUUAGAAUCAUCAGCCUGAUGUGAAUCAUGCAUCACAAAAGUCCGCUCACGG